RNAcentral lists this long non-coding RNA (3923 nucleotides) under Meleagris gallopavo (turkey). RNAcentral's name for it is "lncRNA (ENSMGAG00000021209.1)". The record is from RNAcentral. Lineage: Eukaryota; Metazoa; Chordata; Aves; Galliformes; Phasianidae.
GCAUAAUAGGAUUCUCAUGAGAACAUGCAGCAGAUGUUUAUUAAAGAUGUAAGUUCUAUGUUAAGAAAGAAUACUUUGCUUUAUUCAUUUAUUUGAUAAGCAGCUCAACUGCUCUGAGUGAAAUGAUUUUGUUAUAUAUUCACAAGUAACUCACACGUGUUUCUCAUUUUUCUCACAGAGUUCAGAAAUUUAAUAACCAAUACAGAUAUCAUAAAAGCCUGACUGUUGGUUUGUGGUCAACAGUGCAGUUUUCUUUGAGCAAAGAGGAAGAGAAAUGUGUCUGUGUGUGAUGGAGCGUGGCAAUCAAUACUAAGAUGUGCACCCAGUUUGUUGGGAAAAGUAAUGGGAUAUACAGGAAUAAUACAGAUUGAAGGAAGCACGGAAGAGCUGAAGGGAAGCCCCUAAGAUUCAGAGGCAAUCUCUCUUCUCCCUUGCCAGGUAAGAGGGACCCUGUAGGGAGCUCCCAGGCUAGCAGCUGGGAGGUUGGUUUGCUAAAUAUAGAACAAAAAUUAAAUGAUAAUUCCAUCAAAGAAAAUCUUUGCUCCUCCCAGGACCCUUACGUGCAAUUGCUGUGGGGUAGUUGGAAUGAAAGUUACUCUGAAGCAGUUUUACAGGGGUACAAAGCAAGAAAGCUGCAUGUUCUAUUACUUGUUUUCUUCUCCUGCCUGGCCAGCUUCCAGCCCUCCAGCUGAGGGGCAUUUCAGGGUUUAAAACCCAUUUCCCAGCCAUGCUGGUGUGGGAGGGAGCAACUGGCCCAGUUUCCCUAAAAUGAAAGUCACUGAAAAUGCCAUUCUCCAUGCAAUCCCAAGAGCAGACGUGAGGAGCAAAAGAGUCAGUAGGAAAUCUCACUUAUUUGUGUGAUUGUAUGUCCAAUUUGUCACCCCCAGCAUGCUGCAGUGUGAUGGAUAUGCAUCUAAACCAUGGGAAAACCUGAAGCAAGGAAGCACUCCUAUCACUGAUGAAGAUGCAUCAUCACUGGGCUUGGUUCAAAAACCAUUAAAGCUUCUGAGUGGUUCCAGUGGGAAUGAGAACAACCCUUUUUCAGAAGAAAUAGAGAGAUACUGCUGGAAAUGGAGGAAAACGUACAGUGAAAUACUAAGCAAGAAAGAGGACAUUUGACUCAAAUGUAACCUUUGGAGAACGGUGAGUAUGGAGGAAAGAGGUAAGCUGUGUAAGCCUAAUGCAAGCACUAAGUCAUCUGUGCUCCAUCUUACUGCCAAUUAUUGCAGAAAUGAAAAAGAAUAUGCUUUUGGAUGUUAUGGAAUAGAAAUACUGCCUAUUUUAGUGUUUGAAAUAAACACAUUUUCCUUUGCUUUCCUAUAUGAAGCCAUGGCUAUUUAUAAUAGGAAUCAUUUGUGGUUAUUGUAAUAGCAUUCCUCCUUGCCAUGUCCUGACUGGAUGAAAUACUUCUUGGUUUAGUAUUAAUCCACAUUGUCUCAAAGAAUAACUUCAGAAGGUAGGAAAAAAAUGGAAGCCCCAUGUUAAACUAGUAACCACAUUGAAAAAGCAUUUGGUUUAUCAGACUCCUGCUGUGCCUGUUAUGUUCAGAUUUUGAGGCAGCCAAGUGAAGUGAUGUAAAGCGUGGAACAUACAAGCCUUAAUGAUGGCUUUGGCUCUGUAUUCCCCAUAUUUACAGUAACAAAAACAAACAAAAAAAAACAGCAAAAACCUCUCCACAUUUUAAAAGCAAAAUAUGACCUCAGGAAAUAGAAGGUUUAUAUUCCUGCCAAUUCCUAUUGUAGCUUCCCAGGGUGGUGUUAAACCCAUUAUCAGUCAUCAUGGACAAAAUCAGCACUUCCACCUUUCAAUGCCAUUUGAUUAAACAUAUGCAGUGAAUGAUAGGCUUGAAGUAAAAAAUAGGUACUCUGCACUUCUGUCCACAUGUACAUGGAGCCCAUUGGGAUGAAAGGCUCAACCUAAACUUCCCACAUCAUUACUCAUGCAGGAUUGCUCCAUAAAGCUGAUUUUCCUUUGCUUCUUUGAAAGCCCCUCUAAUUGUGGCUUCUACUUUUUUCUUCUUAGUUCUACAGAGCAAAAAGAAAAAGACAAAUGAUGUUGAAAAAAUGAUAAUAUUCUAAAUUUCCCAACAGUGUUGUGAGUUUUGUGAGAGAAAUAAAGCAGGAAAAUGUCAGUAUCAUUUGUGAUUGGAAUAGCUACAUAUGGAGCGGUGUCUGUCAGCACUUCUUGUUUAUAUGGAUUUUAUCAUGUCACCAUUUUCUAGUUGCAUUUGUUGGAAAAAGUGAUCCAGUGUAUAGUCUUUUUAUUGUUUUUUUUUAGAAGGAAGACAUUAUGUAGUAGACAAUGUUGACAUUAUCUAGUAGAUAAUGUUCUACUCUCCAUCACUAGAAAUAUUCCAUUGCUAAAUUUUAUUUCUAAAUCCUCUAAUGAGAGAGAGAUUUAAAAUAAAGUUAUCGUCUGUGCUGGCUGUCAGGAGGAAGAGGAUUACAAACAAGGGCACCCAGGUGCAAUAGUAGCACAGGUAUCUGAGGAAACCACUCAAAAUGUCUCCUUGGGAUCCAAUGCCUAUAGUUCUAAUGCCAGUGGUGUUUUCUAAACCAGUGCUGCCAUGCUUUGAUGUUACUUCUAUGUGCAGGUAUGUUAUUUAUACAUUCAUGCCAAUCAUGUUACUGCUCUUAAUGGUGUAUAAGUGCAAUGCCAGCUGAACUAAUUAACUAUUUGUGAAGACUGGUGGCCUUCAGUCCCAACCAGGAAUCCCAGCUCUCUGCAGCCUGGGGCACGUGCACAGCUGGGACAGAAAAAUAAGUUUGGGAACUCAAGAUUUUGGACAGCAGUUGGCACGACAGCCUGGCAGGGACACCAUAUCCUGAAGCUCACAUGUGGGAUUUGCAGCAGGCUUCAAUCAGACUGAGAAAUGAGUGUCAAUGUAAGUGCUUUCUUGAGAGAAAUCAAAGCCUGGUGGAGGUGUUGGUUCCUACCCAGUCUUUGAGGUAGGCAAGAAAUGUCCUGUUACCACCUGACAUGUAGAUACAUCGAAGUGCACUUACACUUGUACUUUAAAGACUGUAAGCCAGAGUGGUACAAAGAAGUCCAAGCUUCAGAGAAUUAAGCCCUGAGGCACAAAGGCCAGAUCUGUACUUGAAAAAGCUCCUUUGUGUUGCUGUGCUGGCAAACUCUCCUAGAAGGAGUGAAGCAUAGGUAAUACCACACAGAGGAGCAAGAGAGUUUUAAAAUAGGUAUUUGUACACCAGGACUUACGUGGAUAAAAGAGAGGCUGCAUAAAAGCUGUUUGGUCACUGAAUAACGUUGCUGCACAGGCAAAAAUUUCCGAAUGGCCAAGCAGAGGCAGGUCUGAGCAGAUCAAGCUCCAUCCAGCUCUGGGAGCCAGGCUGAGACCUCACUGCAAGGCAUGGAGAUGCUGCAGAGGACCCUCUCGACUGCAGUGUGAUGGUGACAUCUGCUCUGGAGAAGAUUUUGAGUUUAUUACUGUUGCACUGCUUUUUCUCUUCUCCCAGGAGUCCUCUGCUGAAUAUUCCCCUCUGAUUCCUUUUCCACUGUUUCUGUAUUCCAAAUGGCUGUCUUUCAAACUUGUCCAAUGAGGGAAGGUUCAAAGUCAUUCUGCUGAUGUAGAACCAGCAAGCUAUUCUGUAUAACCUCGUGGUUGUGCCUCCUUACACAGCUGGAAUGCCAGGCAGUUAGUUCUUCAGAGCUGAAGCUGUUUCGAAGGGUAGGUUUUGAGAGGAAAGGGAAGUGACUAAGGAUAUUUCCUUUUGACUGUGCAAGUUCCUGUCUGCUUUUCAGAAUUACAAUUCAGCAGAAACAAAGGAGAAACCAUGCUGGUGACAAACAAGCCCAGAGUGUUUGGCUGCUUGUUUUAUGCAGAGCUCAGAGCUUUUGGUUUUGUGCCUGCAGAGUCACCAUAUUUUAAAAAUGGUAAUUUCUGAGACCCAUCUAAAAGGCUAAUU